UGGGGAAUAUUGCACAAUGGGCGCAAGCCUGAUGCAGCGACGCCGCGUGGGGGAUGACGGCCUUCGGGUUGUAAACUCCUUUCGCUAUGGACGAAGCUUUUUGUGACGGUACCUAGAUAAGAAGCACCGGCUAACUACGUGCCAGCAGCCGCGGUAAUACGUAGGGUGCGAGCGUUGUCCGGAAUUACUGGGCGUAAAGGGCUCGUAGGUGGUUUGUCGCGUCGUCUGUGAAAUUCCGGGGCUUAACUCCGGGCGUGCAGGCGAUACGGGCAUAACUUGAGUACUGUAGGGGUAACUGGAAUUCCUGGUGUAGCGGUGAAAUGCGCAGAUAUCAGGAGGAACACCGAUGGCGAAGGCAGGUUACUGGGCAGUUACUGACGCUGAGGAGCGAAAGCAUGGGUAGCGAACAGG
RNAcentral lists this ribosomal RNA (411 nucleotides) under Actinomycetes bacterium. RNAcentral's name for it is "Actinobacteria bacterium partial 16S ribosomal RNA". It matches the Rfam family "Bacterial small subunit ribosomal RNA", at positions 355 to 776 of the family's 1533-position model. The record is from RNAcentral. Lineage: Bacteria; Bacillati; Actinomycetota; Actinomycetes.